RNAcentral lists this ribosomal RNA (253 nucleotides) under uncultured bacterium. Its description in RNAcentral is "partial 16S ribosomal RNA". It matches the Rfam family "Bacterial small subunit ribosomal RNA", at positions 524 to 776 of the family's 1533-position model. The record is from RNAcentral.
UACGAAGGGGGCUAGCGUUGCUCGGAAUCACUGGGCGUAAAGCGCACGUAGGCGGGUCUUUAAGUCAGGGGUGAAAUCCUGGAGCUCAACUCCAGAACUGCCUUUGAUACUGAGGAUCUCGAGUCCGGGAGAGGUGAGUGGAACUCCGAGUGUAGAGGUGAAAUUCGUAGAUAUUCGGAAGAACACCAGUGGCGAAGGCGGCGAUCUGGGCCAAUAUUGACGCUGAGGUGCGAAAGCGUGGGGAGCAAACAGG